GGAAUAGCCCACUCUACACCUAGGCUAUAUGGAAUAGCCUAUUGCUCCUAGGCUUCAAACCCAUACAGCAUGGCACUAUAUGGAAUACUGUAGGCAAUUUUAACACAAUGAAUCCUGACCCUUGGGAAUGGGAUCUGGAGCCAGUGGGAAGCAUUCUCCGAAUAUGAUAAUGUGGUUAUCUUCUGACGAGUGCUGGCAUUAUCACUUGUUGCUAAAAAAACACCAGGCUUGUUCUGAGGUUCACCCGACUCCACUGCAUGUAUUACGUGCAUGUGUACCUUGGAAUGGAAAAUACAUGACUAAGCCCUGAGACAACUCUGCACUGUAUCCUGCUAUUCUUCCAACUGCAGGACCUCAUGGAGCGAGAGAUCCAAACCUUUCUGAAGUACUUUACCUUCUACCUUUUUCAUGCUACUCAGGAUUGAAUCAAUUGGAAGCCAACAAAGCCAUUCUGUGUUACUGUGCCUCCUGACUGUCAGCACGCUGCACUGUGCAUUUAGAUAAUUCUGCCAGAAGGCAUUUUUAUAAAAACAGCUUUCAAAAUCUAUUCUUGAAAAGACAUUUGUAUACUCAUUAUGCCAUUCUAUCAUUUAUCCAUAGGGAGUUCUGUAAAUAAAACACUGAGGUCUAAUACUA
This is a long non-coding RNA of Homo sapiens (human), 636 nucleotides long. Ensembl annotates it as SLIT2 intronic transcript 1. Its record names the gene SLIT2-IT1. NCBI's taxonomy places the organism in Eukaryota, Metazoa, Chordata, Mammalia, Primates, Hominidae. The record is from Ensembl.